Molecule: ribosomal RNA, 207 nt
Filed under: uncultured bacterium
Lineage: Bacteria
Description: partial 16S ribosomal RNA
Rfam family: Bacterial small subunit ribosomal RNA
Source: RNAcentral
CACGUAGGCGGCCCGUCAAGCAUCUUGUGAAAUCCCUCGGCUCAACCGAGGAAUGGCUGGGUGAACUGGCGGGCUUGAGGCAGGUAGGGGCACGUGGAACUCUUGGUGGAGCGGUGGAAUGCGUAGAUAUCAAGAGGAACGCCGGUGGCGAAAGCGGCGUGCUGGGCCUGUCCUGACGCUGAGGUGCGAAAGCCAGGGGAGCAAACG